RNAcentral lists this ribosomal RNA (468 nucleotides) under uncultured bacterium. Its description in RNAcentral is "partial 16S ribosomal RNA". The stretch from base 20 to 332 matches the Rfam family "Bacterial small subunit ribosomal RNA", at positions 47 to 358 of the family's 1533-position model. The record is from RNAcentral.
GACGAACGCUGGCGGCGUGCUUAACACAUGCAAGUCGAACGGAAAGGCCCUGCUUUUGUGGGGUGCUCGAGUGGCGAACGGGUGAGUAACACGUGAGUAACCUGCCCUUGACUUUGGGAUAACUUCAGGAAACUGGGGCUAAUACCGGAUAGGAGCUCCUGCUGCAUGGUGGGGGUUGGAAAGUUUCGGCGGUUGGGGAUGGACUCGCGGCUUAUCAGCUUGUUGGUGGGGUAGUGGCUUACCAAGGCUUUGACGGGUAGCCGGCCUGAGAGGGUGACCGGGGGGAUUGGGAAUGAGAGAAGGGGGAGAGGGCGACGGGAGGCAGCAGGGGGGGAGGGGGAACAGUGGGGGGGAGCCGGAGGCGGCGAGCGCGGGUGCGGGAGGAGGGGCUGCGGGGAGGAAAAAGCAAGCGCCGGUGACGAAGCGGGAGGGAGGGUGAUGAGUAAAGAAGCACCGGCUAACUACGUG